Long non-coding RNA from Prunus dulcis (almond), 737 nucleotides. RefSeq lists it as uncharacterized. The record is from RefSeq and is a predicted model, not a curated record. Lineage: Eukaryota; Viridiplantae; Streptophyta; Magnoliopsida; Rosales; Rosaceae. The transcript is spliced from 7 exons.
UGCAUUGCAAAAUUGAACUUAACCUUCCUUCCAUUGCACUUUGGUUUAUGUCUUUGGGCAUCAAGCACCAAAUAAAUAACUUGUCAUAGUUUUGCCAAUAUCUUGUAGCAAGCUAUGCGCCGAGUCUGAUUGGGAUUUAUCUCAUUCCUUACUUUGUACGGGGGAGAAGUCAGAAGCAGUCUCUCUCUAGGGACGCACUCGCAGCAUGCCAAUGACACAAAUGAUAUAUUCCUCCUUGCUGCAAAGGCAGUGCCUUCUACCAUAUUAAAGUAUAGGAAGUUGAAAGUGGCUCAUUCUGAAGAACAAGAGAAUGCUCCUAAUGUUUCAGGCAGCUCUUAUCUAUCUUUACUCUUAGAAGCAUGGAAACCAAUAUCAGUGGGACACAAGAGAAGUGAUUUGGUUGUAGCAUCUCCAGUGGAAGAUGAUUUUUUAUACAAUGACGAUCUUCCAUAUCCUGAAAAGAAAGAAGCUGAGGAGAUCACACGACCAUUUUUGGAUGCUCUUGGUGGUGACUAUUCAGUUUGUUGUCAAGGUUAUAUAAAUUGUUUUGAAAAAUAUAAUAGUCGACAGAUGUUGAAUUGUCUCUCUCAUUAUCAGGAUAGAGAUGAACAAGCGACAAUAAUUGCUCUUAAACCUAUUUCCGAGGGAGAAGAGGUUACCAUUUCUUAUGUAGAUGAAGACCUUCCUUUUGAAGAGAGACAAGCAUUACUAGCAGAUUACGGUUUUAAAUGCAGGUG